UGACAUGUCCCUGCAGUUGGCUGCCUUC
RNAcentral lists this non-coding RNA (28 nucleotides) under Mus musculus (house mouse). The record is from RNAcentral. Lineage: Eukaryota; Metazoa; Chordata; Mammalia; Rodentia; Muridae.